RNAcentral lists this non-coding RNA (75 nucleotides) under Paraburkholderia sacchari. RNAcentral describes it as "Burkholderia sacchari Burkholderia sRNA 54". It matches the Rfam family "Burkholderia sRNA 54". Rfam says of the family: Identified by RNA-seq, RACE and Northern blot. Strongly expressed in biofilm. The record is from Rfam by way of RNAcentral. Lineage: Bacteria; Pseudomonadati; Pseudomonadota; Betaproteobacteria; Burkholderiales; Burkholderiaceae.
AAGUCUCUCAGGUUCUGGCUGGCCCUCGGAUGAAUGCCAGAAUCCUUCAAGCCGCGCCUAGCGCGGCUUUUUUUA